Molecule: ribosomal RNA, 465 nt
Filed under: uncultured Klebsiella sp.
Lineage: Bacteria; Pseudomonadati; Pseudomonadota; Gammaproteobacteria; Enterobacterales; Enterobacteriaceae
Description: bacterial SSU rRNA
Rfam family: Bacterial small subunit ribosomal RNA
Source: RNAcentral
CCUACGGGCGGCUGCAGUGGGGAAUAUUGCACAAUGGGCGCAAGCCUGAUGCAGCCAUGCCGCGUGUGUGAAGAAGGCCUUCGGGUUGUAAAGCACUUUCAGCGGGGAGGAAGGCGGUGAGGUUAAUAACCUCAUCGAUUGACGUUACCCGCAGAAGAAGCACCGGCUAACUCCGUGCCAGCAGCCGCGGUAAUACGGAGGGUGCAAGCGUUAAUCGGAAUUACUGGGUGUAAAGCGCACGCAGGCGGUCUGUCAAGUCGGAUGUGAAAUCCCCGGGCUCAACCUGGGAACUGCAUUCGAAACUGGCAGGCUAGAGUCUGGUAGAGGGGGGUAGAAUUCCAGGUGUAGCGGUGAAAUGCGUAGAGAUCUGGAGGAAUACCGGUGGCGAAGGCGGCCCCCUGGACAAAGACUGACGCUCAGGUGCGAAAGCGUGGGGAGCAAACAGGAUUAGAGACCCUGGUAGUC